GAUGAACGCUGGCGGCGUGCCUAAUACAUGCAAGUCGAGCGAACAGACGAGGAGCUUGCUCCUCUGACGUUAGCGGCGGACGGGUGAGUAACACGUGGAUAACCUACCCAUAAGACUGGGAUAACUUCGGGAAACCGGAGCUAAUACCGGAUAAUAUAUUGAACCGCAUGGUUCAAUAGUGAAAGACGGUUUUGCUGUCACUUAUAGAUGGAUCCGCGCCGCAUUAGCUAGUUGGUAAGGUAACGGCUUACCAAGGCAACGAUGCGUAGCCGACCUGAGAGGGUGAACGGCCACACUGGAACUGAGACACGGUCCAGACUCCUACGGGAGGCAGCAGUAGGGAAUCUUCCGCAAUGGGCGAAAGCUUGACGGAGCAACGCCGCGUGAGUGAUGAAGGUCUUCGGAUCGUAAAACUCUGUUAUUAGAGAAGAACAAAUGUGUAAGUAACUAUGCACGUCUUGACGGUACCUAAUCAGAAAGCCACGGCUAACUACGUG
RNAcentral lists this ribosomal RNA (497 nucleotides) under uncultured bacterium. Its description in RNAcentral is "partial 16S ribosomal RNA". It matches the Rfam family "Bacterial small subunit ribosomal RNA", at positions 28 to 507 of the family's 1533-position model. The record is from RNAcentral.